This 1392-nucleotide ribosomal RNA is filed under the name uncultured bacterium. RNAcentral describes it as "bacterial SSU rRNA". It matches the Rfam family "Bacterial small subunit ribosomal RNA". The record is from RNAcentral.
UUUGAUCCUGGCUCAGAUUGAACGCUGGCGGCAGGCCUAACACAUGCAAGUCGAACGGCAGCACAGAAGAGCUUGCUCUUUGGGUGGCGAGUGGCGGACGGGUGAGUAAUGUCUGGGAAACUGCCCGAUGGAGGGGGAUAACUACUGGAAACGGUAGCUAAUACCGCAUAACGUCGCAAGACCAAAGUGGGGGACCUUCGGGCCUCACACCAUCGGAUGUGCCCAGAUGGGAUUAGCUAGUAGGUGGGGUAAUGGCUCACCUAGGCGACGAUCCCUAGCUGGUCUGAGAGGAUGACCAGCCACACUGGAACUGAGACACGGUCCAGACUCCUACGGGAGGCAGCAGUGGGGAAUAUUGCACAAUGGGCGCAAGCCUGAUGCAGCCAUGCCGCGUGUAUGAAGAAGGCCUUCGGGUUGUAAAGUACUUUCAGCGGGGAGGAAGGCGGUGAGGUUAAUAACCUUGCCGAUUGACGUUACCCGCAGAAGAAGCACCGGCUAACUCCGUGCCAGCAGCCGCGGUAAUACGGAGGGUGCAAGCGUUAAUCGGAAUUACUGGGCGUAAAGCGCACGCAGGCGGUCUGUUAAGUCAGAUGUGAAAUCCCCGGGGCUUAACCUGGGAACUGCAUUUGAAACUGGCAGGCUUGAGUCUCGUAGAGGGGGGUAGAAUUCCAUGUGUAGCGGUGAAAUGCGUAGAGAUCUGGAGGAAUACCGGUGGCGAAGGCGGCCCCCUGGACGAAGACUGACGCUCAGGUGCGAAAGCGUGGGGAGCAAACAGGAUUAGAUACCCUGGUAGUCCACGCCGUAAACGAUGUCGACUUGGAGGUUGUGCCCUUGAGGCGUGGCUUCCGGAGCUAACGCGUUAAGUCGACCGCCUGGGGAGUACGGCCGCAAGGUUAAAACUCAAAUGAAUUGACGGGGGCCCGCACAAGCGGUGGAGCAUGUGGUUUAAUUCGAUGCAACGCGAAGAACCUUACCUGGCCUUGACAUCCAGAGAACUUAGCAGAGAUGCUUUGGUGCCUUCGGGAACUCUGAGACAGGUGCUGCAUGGCUGUCGUCAGCUCGUGUUGUGAAAUGUUGGGUUAAGUCCCGCAACGAGCGCAACCCUUAUCCUUUGUUGCCAGCGGUUCGGCCGGGAACUCAAAGGAGACUGCCGGUGAUAAACCGGAGGAAGGUGGGGAUGACGUCAAGUCAUCAUGGCCCUUACGGCCAGGGCUACACACGUGCUACAAUGGCGCAUACAAAGAGAAGCGACCUCGCGAGAGCAAGCGGACCUCAUAAAGUGCGUCGUAGUCCGGAUUGGAGUCUGCAACUCGACUCCAUGAAGUCGGAAUCGCUAGUAAUCGUAGAUCAGAAUGCUACGGUGAAUACGUUCCCGGGCCUUGUACACACCGC